UAGCUAAAACAGAGCCUCAUAGUGCCCUUGCGAAGAUGCCCCUUUCUGUGCCAAAGUCUGUAAAUAAAGACAUGUCUUUUACGGAAGGACAGCUGAAGGCCCUCUUCAAAGAGCAUGAUGCCAACGGUGAUGGUCGCCUUAGCAAAGAAGAGAUAAAGAAGGCAUUUCAACAGUUGGGUUCUCGCUUCCCCGGCUGGAGGGUCCGGCGUUCACUUCACCACGCUGAUUCUAAUGGAGACGGUAGCAUCGGUUUGGAUGAGCUUGAUGAGCUUGUUAAAUAUGUUGGAAAAUUUGGUUAUAGUAUUCAGUAGAAAUCUUUGCAAGAAAUUAAAGGGUUUAAUUAUUAUGAGAAAUUAAUGUUCUUCAUAUAAGUUUAAUAUUUUUAUAGAUGUGUGAGCUUGGUGCUUGUAAGCUUCAAGCUUGCUUAUCCUAUUACGCUUGUGUUCGGUGUUUGUUCUUCAGUGUUUCAUGACAAUAACAACAAUCUUCUUUGUUUCUAAUAAUUUAAAGAGUUGAUUAUACAUGUAGAUCUUGUUCUUCUGAUCUUUUGGAUUUUGUUAAACAAAUAAAGCAAGAUUUGAUGUUAUUGAUCAUGGUGAAAUGUCCCCAAAUAAUGUUACAGAUAAUG
This 628-nucleotide unclassified non-coding RNA is filed under the name Hevea brasiliensis (rubber tree). The record is from RNAcentral. Lineage: Eukaryota; Viridiplantae; Streptophyta; Magnoliopsida; Malpighiales; Euphorbiaceae.